RNAcentral lists this small nucleolar RNA (94 nucleotides) under Sordaria macrospora k-hell. The record is from RNAcentral. Lineage: Eukaryota; Fungi; Ascomycota; Sordariomycetes; Sordariales; Sordariaceae.
UUGAAUGAUGAGAACAGGCCGCAGCGCCUCAUUAUAAACCCAGCUCUUCGAUUCCUCUUUGAGGAUACAUGAGACGAAAACUUUAUACCUGACA